Molecule: ribosomal RNA, 301 nt
Filed under: uncultured bacterium
Lineage: Bacteria
Description: partial 16S ribosomal RNA
Rfam family: Bacterial small subunit ribosomal RNA
Source: RNAcentral
CAGCCGCCGCGGUAAUACGUGGGUGGCAAGCGUUGUCCGGAAUUAUUGGGCGUAAAGGGCUCGCAGGCGGUUUCUUAAGUCUGAUGCGAAAGCCCCCGGCUCAACCGGGGAGGGUCAUUGGAAACUGGGAAACUUGAGUGCAGAAGAGGAGAGUGGAAUUCCACGUGUAGCGGUGAAAUGCGUAGAGAUGUGGAGGAACACCAGUGGCGAAGGCGACUCUCUGGUCUGUAACUGACGCUGAGGAGCGAAAGCGUGGGGAGCGAACAGGAUUAGAUACCCCUGUAGUCCCUGUCUCUUAUAA